This 376-nucleotide ribosomal RNA is filed under the name uncultured bacterium. Its description in RNAcentral is "bacterial SSU rRNA". It matches the Rfam family "Bacterial small subunit ribosomal RNA", at positions 29 to 396 of the family's 1533-position model. The record is from RNAcentral.
AACGAACGCUGGCGGCGCGCCUAAUACACGCAAGUCGAGCGAGAAGACGUAGCAAUACGUUUGUAAAGCGGCGAACGGGUGAGGAAUACAUGGGUAACCUACCCUCGAGUGGGGAAUAACUAGCCGAAAGGUUAGCUAAUACCGCGUACGCUCCUUGGACUUCGGUUCAGGGAGGAAAGCGAUACCGUGGGUAUCGCGCUCUUGGAUGGGCUCAUGUCCUAUCAGCUUGUUGGUGAGGAACGGCUCACCAAGGCUUCGACGGGUAGCUGGUCUGAGAGGACGAUCAGCCACACUGGCACUGCGACACGGGCCAGACUCCUACGGGAGGCAGCAGUAAGGAAUAUUGCGCAAUGGGCGAAAGCCUGACGCAGCGACG